AAUGGCGGGGGCGGGUCUAAUACAUGCAGUCGAGCGAACUGAUUAGAAGCUUGCUUCUAUGACGUUAGCGGCGGACGGGUGAGUAACACGUGGGCAACCUGCCUGUAAGACUGGGAUAACUUCGGGAAACCGAAGCUAAUACCGGAUAGGAUCUUCUCCUUCAUGGGAGAUGAUUGAAAGAUGGUUUCGGCUAUCACUUACAGAUGGGCCCGCGGUGCAUUAGCUAGUUGGUGAGGUAACGGCUCACCAAGGCAACGAUGCAUAGCCGACCUGAGAGGGUGAUCGGCCACACUGGGACUGAGACACGGCCCAGACUCCUACGGGAGGCAGCAGUAGGGAAUCUUCCGCAAUGGACGAAAGUCUGACGGAGCAACGCCGCGUGAGUGAUGAAGGCUUUCGGGUCGUAAAACUCUGUUGUUAGGGAAGAACAAGUACAAGAGUAACUGCUUGUACCUUGACGGUACCUAACCAGAAAGCCACGGCUAACUACGUGCCAGCAGCCGCGGUAAU
This 510-nucleotide ribosomal RNA is filed under the name Priestia megaterium. RNAcentral describes it as "bacterial SSU rRNA". It matches the Rfam family "Bacterial small subunit ribosomal RNA", at positions 32 to 524 of the family's 1533-position model. Lineage: Bacteria; Bacillati; Bacillota; Bacilli; Caryophanales; Bacillaceae. The record is from RNAcentral.